Paramuricea clavata is the source of this 413-nucleotide non-coding RNA. The record is from the annotation of a GenBank genome assembly. Lineage: Eukaryota; Metazoa; Cnidaria; Anthozoa; Malacalcyonacea; Plexauridae.
CAGGCUAGUCUAUUUAUUUCAAAUAAAUUAUUAUUUUACAGGAAGGUCCACAUUAUGAACCAUGUGUGCUAUUGUUUGCUUCAAAAAUGUUCUUUGACCGCACAUUACUAUGCGUACUACACUAUUCACUAGACACUAGUGUUUAUAGUUAUUUAACAAUUAUUCGCCGAAGGCGAGGUGAAUAUCGCUGAAUAAAAACCGAGACGAAGUCGAGGUUUUUAUUCAGCGAUAUUCACCGAGCCUGAGGCGAAUAAUUGUUUUAGUAUAAUUACAAAGGUGAUUAUUUGAAAAAAAUAAUAUAACACAUCUCAAUUUUUUGAAAAUCGUUUAAUUAAAUUCAUAAAGAAAGCGGUAUGCGCAAUGAAGGCGCUCGUAUCGCCAUCAAGAUUCAAGGAUGUUUUUUGUAGUAAUUC